AGGGUUUGAUUAUGGCUCAGGAUGAACGCUAGCUACAGGCUUAACACAUGCAAGUCGAGGGGCAGCAUGGUCUUAGCUUGCUAAGGCCGAUGGCGACCGGCGCACGGGUGAGUAACGCGUAUCCAACCUGCCUUACACUCUUGGACAGCCUUCUGAAAGGGAGAUUAAUACAAGAUGUUAUCAUGAGUAAGCAUUUUCGCAUGAUUAAAGGUUUACCGGUGUAAGAUGGGGAUGCGUUCCAUUAGAUAGUAGGCGGGGUAACGGCCCACCUAGUCUUCGAUGGAUAGGGGUUCUGAGAGGAAGGUCCCCCACAUUGGGACUGAGACACGGUCCAA
This 335-nucleotide ribosomal RNA is filed under the name uncultured bacterium. Its description in RNAcentral is "bacterial SSU rRNA". It matches the Rfam family "Bacterial small subunit ribosomal RNA", at positions 8 to 334 of the family's 1533-position model. The record is from RNAcentral.